RNAcentral lists this ribosomal RNA (118 nucleotides) under Oncorhynchus kisutch (coho salmon). The record is from RNAcentral. Lineage: Eukaryota; Metazoa; Chordata; Actinopteri; Salmoniformes; Salmonidae.
GCUUACGGCCAUACCAGCCUGAAUACGCCCGAUCUCGUCUGAUCUCGGAAGCUAAGCAGGAUCGGGCCUGGUUAGUACUUGGAUGGGAGACUGCCUGGGAAACCAGGUGCUGCAAGCU